UCCACCGACUUUGCAUUCUAGAAAAUUCCAAGUACUACAUAAGCCUGAACAGUUACAUGAAAACCCUAGCCUAAACCCUAUUCGUACGGCCUCUGCAUUUCCAUCCCUUACUCAUCUUAAUCUUCUGACCAAAUCUAUGAGAUAAAACCGGCAAACUACAGACUCAGAAUUUGAUCGUGAGUCGUGGUUCAAUUGACGAAAAUUCGGAUCAGUGUGAUACGGAGGAAGAAAGGCAGAAGCUUUUGAAGAAAGAUUUCACGGAUCUACUUGCUGGUGGUCUUGAUAUUAUUGCUUUUGGAGAUCCAGGGGCAAAUCCAUAUUGGGGCAAAGGGGUCACUUGGCCUCAUGGCAAUUAGAAAACCCCAUGACAGCCGCAGAUAUUACUCCCUGGAACCUUGGGUGGCAGGGCAGGAAUGCCCAUAAGGUGUUUGUCAAAAUGCCUUGAGCCUUGGGUGGCUGGGCAGGAAUUUACAGUUCUUUGUCAAAAUGCCUCAAUGAAGGCUGUGCUGUGCUAGGCAGCAGGCAGGUCCUGUUCAAGACAGCAGUUUGGUUCAAUUAUAUUAGCAACAGAAUACCAACCAAACUAGUACAAAUUUCGUCAAGCUACCAUUUAACAAGUAGAAGUGGAGCUGAUGAGUGCAGCAUAUUUUAAUUAAGGAGGCAAUGGAAAUUCUCUGAAGCUUGUACUUUCAAUAGAUUAGUGUACAAGUUUGUGCGGAUUAGAUUCAGGCUUGUUGUCUUUUUU
Prunus dulcis (almond) is the source of this 745-nucleotide long non-coding RNA. RefSeq lists it as uncharacterized. The record is from RefSeq and is a predicted model, not a curated record. Lineage: Eukaryota; Viridiplantae; Streptophyta; Magnoliopsida; Rosales; Rosaceae. The transcript is spliced from 2 exons.